UACGAUCAAGCCACGCUGAAACACCGGUUCUCGUUCGAUCACCGAAGUUAAGCAUCGUAGAGCCAGGUCAGUACUUAGAUGGGGGACCGCUUGGGAACACCUGGUACUGUAAG
Non-coding RNA from Acanthosepion pharaonis, 113 nucleotides. The record is from the annotation of a GenBank genome assembly. NCBI's taxonomy places the organism in Eukaryota, Metazoa, Mollusca, Cephalopoda, Sepiida, Sepiidae.